GUUUUAGGUUGAUUCAAUUCAAUCUGCUGUAGCGGCUCUGGCGAUCAACACCGAACUUUGCUGCUGAUUCAAAACCGUCAUCGAAGAUUCAAUCUCGAUCUGACGUUUGACAACGUACGGAAUCCUAGGAGUUGACUUACGACAAGGGUUUGGAAGGGCUCAACGAAAUGGUUUCCUUUUCCAAGAAUCCGGAAUCUUUGGGCCGUCUGAACGAGGCCGGGAAAAAGUAACGAGAAGUCGAUCCCCUGUUGGCCAACUUCAAGAAGGUGGGCGUCCAGCUGGGCCUGUUGAAAUGGAUGGUCCUCUUCGGUGCCAAAGUGGCGAAGGUUGUCGAAUCCCUCGGGAAACUGGUCGUCGUUGUUGUUGUUGUAGCAACAACAACAGCAGGAGCCACCGGUGGAACGUCUUUGACGACGAUGGCUUCCGUCUCAGAUUCAACACUUUGCGUAGUAGGCGAGUCUGGCGUGGUGGUUGGAAUUUCCAGUAAAAUUUGCGCCAUGGCUUCAAUCACCGACGCAUCCGAGGGAUCCAAUUCCGGCCCUUCCGUGACGAUUUCCAGUUCCACUUGAUUGUUCUCAGCCGGAGUGGAUGAUUCCACCAGAAGAUUCUCCUGGAUUAUCAAGGGACUGUCGGUGCUAGCUCCUUCGGUGCUGGCCUCCUCCAUGGCCGUCGUCGACAUCCCCGACUCGGUGCUGGCCGCUUCCGUGAUCAUUACUUCCGGAACAAUUGAAUUAGGAGGAGCGAAUUCGACGUAGUCAUCCGGAACGCUUGGAGGAGAAUCAAUGACGGUCGUUGUCACUGUCGCCGUCACUGUCACCGUUGGCUGGGAGCUGGUCGAAGUGCUGACGGACUGGCCGCCGCCCAGACCGAUCCAGUUUCUAAAGUUGAUGUAAAGGGCGUUGAAGAAUAGACCGAUUGGACGUUGGGCCUGGCUCUCGCCAAUCAGCAAUCCACUCACCAGCAACAUCACUAAUUAUUUUACUAAAUGAGAGUCGUAAACCCCGAGGGUCUCAAGUUCAAACGGUUCCAACACACACAAAAUUGGAAGACCUGGAAAUUGUUAUUUUCUUCUUCUUUUCAUCUUUUGAUAGUACAAAGAUGAAACAGUACAUUCACGCAAGCAGAAGAUGAUCCGGAGAGAACCACAUCGUCCUGACGCCACCUGUCUGCAGCAGCUGCUGGAGUACAUGUUGCACUAUAGAGUGUUGGAAGAGAUGUGAUACACUAACAUUCGAUCGGGAUGGAAAAAAAGAAGAAAAAAAAAACGUCACGGUUUUUUUGGAUUUAAUUUAGUACAUUCGAUACGGCCCCUCCUUUUCUCACGCGGGAUAUUUGAAUGCGUCUUUUAGGUCUACCUUUUCCCGGCAAUGGGCGGUGUUUUCCGAAAAGUUCUCCACGUAAAACAUUUAAAAAAUGAUUCGUCGACCGCGACGACAAGAAAUUAAAAGAAACGGAGUUGAUCCAGCCGCAAUGGGUUGAACGAUGUAGUAAAUAUCGUCAGACAGCAGCAAUAAACCAGGAUCGGUAGAAGAGACAAAAGGGCAACAACCCGGUAAGAACCCGUUACAUAACACAAAUUUGUUUCGCAAAGCUUUAAAUCUUUUGUGUUUUUAGUUAGUGAAUUUCAAAUUGGCCGUGAUGUCGGCCUGCGAAUUCUCUGCCACCUGGAAUUGACGCUGUCGAGAUGGAAAUGAGGACUCGAUGAUGCUAGAAUGUUUAAUGAGAUGAGGAAUGCCAGCCAAUUUCGUCGGUCCAGCCCUGAGCUGGCCGGCCGUUCGACGGAGGAAUCCAUCCACCAGGUCAAGAUCGCCAAUGUCAACCACUUCCAGGUCCUGUUGGGAUCCCAAUCCGGUCCGUUUCUCCAUCACUUGACCCACUUUCCCGUAAUGCGGCAUCUUUUCCGGAAGACUCGGCGACAAGUCACCGAACUCUAAAUUGCGCUGCAUGGCCACCAGGUCCAUGUCGUCUAUGUCGACGGGAUCCUGCAUCAGAGCCGGAGGAGCCACCGACGGUUUCAAGUGGACAAACUCAUCCACCUUGAAAGUGUGCACAUUUUGAUUGUUCAAAAUGUUCUUCUGCAACUGGGAAGCGGCCAGUUCGUCCAUUUUUAUCAGCUCUUCAUCGGAGAAGUGAAGUUCGUCGUCUAAUGCGGCCACAUCCGCCCCGGAAGCCCGUCGAGAUUCCUCGACUUGCCCGUGCCGUUGCAACAUGCCGACGCUGACGGUGUAGGUCGGACAUUUGGAGGCGAUUUCAGUCACGACAAACUCCGAGUAGAGCGUCUUUGACAGCGUGGAGAACGACGUGGCCGUCGAGGUGACGGUCUGGAAGGCCGUCAGCCGCUCGGUGAGCGUCACGACGGCCACACUGACGAGCAGAGAAACGUCGACCGACGUGGACGUUUCCGUCACGGUUUCGGAAAAUUCAAUUUGAUUCACCUGAGCCAAGACAAGGACAAGGUGGAUGUUUCCGUCUCUGUAAUCCGCUCCGUUUCCGUCUUGACUUGCGUCUCGUAUUGGGUCAAGUAGACGGUGACGGGCUCGGUGACGGUUUCGGUGGGCGUCGUCGAAGUGCGUCGCUGGAAGAUUUGGGCGAAAUUGGCGAAGAAUCCGCCGUUGCUCUGAGUCCGGCAGGGCUGGCAAAACAGACACAAGAGACUCAACAACACGAAGCACUUUGUUGGCGUAUCCAUUUUCAAUUUGGUCGGGUAAGUCUGAAGGGAUUUUUAAAGACGAACGGACGAGAGAGACUCAUCCGGCGGACCCGGUAGCUGGUCUAUCGACUGAAUCGCCCGCUAAACACUCGGCUCCACUUUAUAGAUAUUCUCUCACCUUCUGUUGGCUGAUGGCCGUCGUUUUGAGUUAGGCUACCGUUUCUUUUUUAUGCGACGUAUGUGCACUGUACUGGACUGUACGGUCUUUUAGUUAAGUAGCCGAAUGUGUUUUUUUUCUUCUCUGUCGUGUCGCCACUUAUUCUUGUGGGAAGGAGGUCGACCGGGUGGCCGGGUGGACACGCACGAAUAACAACCCGAGUGAAAAAUAAAAUAAAAUAACAAUUU
RNAcentral lists this long non-coding RNA (3055 nucleotides) under Daphnia pulex (common water flea). RNAcentral's name for it is "uncharacterized LOC124197147, transcript variant X2". Lineage: Eukaryota; Metazoa; Arthropoda; Branchiopoda; Diplostraca; Daphniidae. The record is from RNAcentral.